CCAAUAGCGUAUAUUAAAGUUGUUGCAGUUAAAAAGCUCGUAGUUGAAUUUCGGGAUUAGUAGGUUGGUCGUGCCUCAGGUAUGUACUGAUCUUACUGAUUCCUCCUUCCUGAUGAACCGUAAUGCCAUUAAUUUGGUGUUGCGGGGAAACUGGACUGUUACUUUGAAAAAAUUAGAGUGUUUAAAGCAGGCUAACGCUUGAAUACAUUAGCAUGGAAUAAUGAAAUAGGACGUUCAAUCCUAUUUUGUUGGUUUCUAGGAUUGACGUAAUGAUUAAUAGGGAUAGUUGGGGGCAUUAGUAUUCAAUUGUCAGAGGUGAAAUUCUUGGAUUUAUUGAAGACUAACUACUGCGAAAGCAUUUGCCAAGGAUGUUUUCAUUAAUCAAGAACGAAAGUUAGGGGAUCGAAGACGAUCAGAUACCGUCGUAGUCUUAACCAUAAACUAUGCCGACUAGGGAUCGGAUGAUGUUAAUUUUUUAAUGACUCAUUCGGCGCCUUACG
RNAcentral lists this ribosomal RNA (500 nucleotides) under uncultured Glomeromycotina. Its description in RNAcentral is "partial small subunit ribosomal RNA". It matches the Rfam family "Eukaryotic small subunit ribosomal RNA", at positions 591 to 1092 of the family's 1831-position model. Lineage: Eukaryota; Fungi; Glomeromycota. The record is from RNAcentral.